This 305-nucleotide unclassified non-coding RNA is filed under the name plant metagenome. RNAcentral describes it as "partial contains 5.8S ribosomal RNA, internal transcribed spacer 2, and large subunit ribosomal RNA". The stretch from base 1 to 105 matches the Rfam family "5.8S ribosomal RNA", at positions 50 to 154 of the family's 154-position model. The record is from RNAcentral.
GAAAUGCGAUAAGUAAUGUGAAUUGCAGAAUUCAGUGAAUCAUCGAAUCUUUGAACGCACAUUGCGCCCGCCAGUAUUCUGGCGGGCAUGCCUGUUCGAACGUCAUUUCAACCAUCAAGCCCCCGGCUUGUGUUGGGGACCUGCGGCUGCCCGCAGGCCCUGAAAAACAGUGGCGGGCUCGCUGUCACACCGAGCGUAGUAGCAUACAUUCUCGCUCAGGGCGUGCUGCGGGUUCCGGCCGUUAAACGACCUUCAUAACCCAAGGUUGACCUCGGAUCAGGUAGGAAGACCCGCUGAACUUAAGC